UACGUAGGGUGCGAGCGUUGUCCGGAAUUAUUGGGCGUAAAGAGCUCGUAGGCGGCUUGUCGCGUCGGAUUUGAAAGCCCGGGGCUUAACCCCGGGUCUGCAUUCGAUACGGGCAGGCUAGAGUUCGGUAGGGGAGAUCGGAAUUCCUGGUGUAGCGGUGAAAUGCGCAGAUAUCAGGAGGAACACCGGUGGCGAAGGCGGAUCUCUGGGCCGAUACUGACGCUGAGGAGCGAAAGCGUGGGGAGCGAACAGG
Molecule: ribosomal RNA, 253 nt
Filed under: uncultured bacterium
Lineage: Bacteria
Description: partial 16S ribosomal RNA
Rfam family: Bacterial small subunit ribosomal RNA
Source: RNAcentral